GAUGAACGCUGGCGGCGUGCCUAAUACAUGCAAGUCGAGCGAAUGGAUUAAGAGCUUGCUCUUAUGAAGUUAGCGGCGGACGGGUGAGUAACACGUGGGUAACCUGCCCUUAAGACUGGGAUAACUCCGGGAAACCGGGGCUAAUACCGGAUAACAUUUUGAACCGCAUGGUUCGAAAUUGAAAGGCGGCUUCGGCUGUCACUUAUGGAUGGACUCGCGUCGCAUUAGGUAGUUGGUGAGGUAACGGCCCACCAAGGCAACGAUGGGUAGCCGACCUGAGAGGGAGAUCGGGCACACUGGGACUGAGACACGGCCCAGACUCCUACGGGAGGCAGCAGUAGGGAAUCUUCAGCAAUGGACGAAAGUCUGACGGAGCAACGCCGCGUGAGUGAUGAAGGCUUUCGGGUCGUAAAACUCUGUUGUUAGGGAAGAACAAGUGCUAGUUGAAUAAGCUGGCACCUUGACGGUACCUAACCAGAAAGCCACGGCUAACUACGUGCCAGCAGCCGCGGUAA
This 515-nucleotide ribosomal RNA is filed under the name uncultured bacterium. Its description in RNAcentral is "partial 16S ribosomal RNA". It matches the Rfam family "Bacterial small subunit ribosomal RNA", at positions 28 to 523 of the family's 1533-position model. The record is from RNAcentral.